RNAcentral lists this ribosomal RNA (437 nucleotides) under uncultured bacterium. RNAcentral's name for it is "bacterial SSU rRNA". It matches the Rfam family "Bacterial small subunit ribosomal RNA", at positions 66 to 518 of the family's 1533-position model. The record is from RNAcentral.
GUGGAAGGCGAAGAUGUAUGUUCUAGCGGCGGACGGGUGAGUAACGCGUGAGCAACCUGUCCUUCACAGGGGGAUAACACAGCGAAAGUUGUACUAAUACCGCAUAAGACCACACCGGGACAUCCCGGAGGGGUCAAAGGAGCAAUCCGGUGAAGGGUGGGCUCGCGUCCGAUUAGAUAGUUGGUGAGGUAACGGCCCACCAAGUCGACGAUCGGUAGCCGACCUGAGAGGGUGAUCGGCCACAUUGGGACUGAGACACGGCCCAAACUCCUACGGGAGGCAGCAGUGGGGAAUAUUGGGCAAUGGGGGAAACCCUGAACCCCCAGCAACGCCGCGUGAGGGAAGAAGGUUUUCGGAUCGUAAACCUCUGUCCUUGGUGAAGAGAGAGAGACGGUAGCCAAGGAGGAAGCCCCGGCUAACUACGUGCCAGCAGCAGC